GAAUCUGAAUAAAGCUUGGAUCGCGAUCAACUCUUUAAUCCUUUUCUUGAUCUUUUUCCUCUUUUCUUUUCUUGCUCUCCUUUCUUUGGUUAUGCAGCAACCAAGCUCUAAAAAUCUGCCACCAAGAAGGGAUGUUGAAGCUUCUUUGGGCAUUGGAAGAUGGGGACGCCCAACUCCCUUGGGUGUGGGAACCAAGAGGGAGAAGAGAGGGAGGCGUGGGGAGUUUAUGGUAGGCAUCG
This 239-nucleotide long non-coding RNA is filed under the name Elaeis guineensis (African oil palm). RNAcentral's name for it is "long non-coding RNA (EGUI_LNC035826)". The record is from RNAcentral. Lineage: Eukaryota; Viridiplantae; Streptophyta; Magnoliopsida; Arecales; Arecaceae.